AGCAGCCGCGGUAAUUCCAGCUCCAAUAGCGUAUAUUAAAGUUGUUGCAGUUAAAAAGCUCGUAGUUGAAUUUCGGGGUUAGUAGGUUGGUCAUGCCUCUGGUAUGUACUGGUCUCACUGAUUCCUCCUUCCUGAUGAGCCGUAAUGCCAUUAAUUUGGUGUUGCGGGGAAUUUGGACCGUUACUUUGAAAAAAUUAGAGUGUUUAAAGCAAGCUAACGCUUGAAUACAUUAGCAUGGAAUAAUGAAAUAGGACGUUCGAUCCUAUUUUGUUGGUUUCUAGGAUUGACGUAAUGAUUAAUAGGGAUAGUUGGGGGCAUUAGUAUUCAAUUGUCAGAGGUGAAAUUCUUGGAUGUUAUUGAAGACUAACUACUGCGAAAGCAUUUGCCAAGGAUGUUUUCAUUAAUCAAGAACGAAAGUUAGGGGAUCGAAGACGAUCAGAUACCGUCGUAGUCUUAACCAUAAACUAUGCCGACUAGGGAUCGGAUGAUGUUAAUUUUUUAAUGACUCA
RNAcentral lists this ribosomal RNA (509 nucleotides) under Glomus sp. Glo8. Its description in RNAcentral is "SSU rRNA". It matches the Rfam family "Eukaryotic small subunit ribosomal RNA", at positions 569 to 1078 of the family's 1831-position model. Lineage: Eukaryota; Fungi; Glomeromycota; Glomeromycetes; Glomerales; Glomeraceae. The record is from RNAcentral.